RNAcentral lists this unclassified non-coding RNA (254 nucleotides) under air metagenome. Its description in RNAcentral is "partial contains small subunit ribosomal RNA, internal transcribed spacer 1, and 5.8S ribosomal RNA". The stretch from base 1 to 46 matches the Rfam family "Eukaryotic small subunit ribosomal RNA", at positions 1786 to 1831 of the family's 1831-position model. The record is from RNAcentral.
AAGUCGUAACAAGGUAUCCGUAGGUGAACCUGCGGAUGGAUCAUUAACAAAGGAUUUCUAUCCAAUGUAUUGUGAACUGUUUUGAAAACACAGUCAGUGUGUGUAGCUUGAAUAUUACUUGGUGUUGCAUAAAAAGAAUAUUUGUAGUUUCAACUUUCAUGCUGGCUGUACCAACAAUCAAACAUUUUUCAAACUGACGUCUAUACUUUAGUAAUAACUAGAGAUAACUUUUAGCAACGGAUCUCUUGGCUCUC